AGUCAUAAAGCAGCAACAUAAAGCAAGCUCCCAACUCUAGUUCUCCAGGCAAUUCAUCCAGGCUGUCCCCUGCAAGCUGCUCAGCCCACCAGAUCUGCUUUGGGGAGCGCAUUAAACAUGGUUAUGCAAUGAUUGGGUGGCGGAUGCCAUAGACAUCUGGCCCUAUGACAAGGGCCAUCCAAAGCAAGAGCCUCUAGACCUCUGGGUGGUGAACAAAUCUCAACUGGGGUUUCGUGCCUACCUGGACGACAUCUGCUCGUCAAUGUGUAGUUAACAUCCUGACAGACCCUUCUGCCGCUGGAUAUGUGAGGGGCACAGCACAGGGCUCUGGAAGUCCCUGCUGACUGCUCGAAGCCUUUCUCCCUGCUAAAACCUCUGACCAAAUGCUUAAUAAUAUCUGCUGUAGGCUGUUGAGUCUGCCACACGUUUGACAUUUAUUGUUUAUUCCCACACCCAUCCCAUGAAACAAGCAGGACUUUCCAUUUUACAGAUGUGAAAACCAAGAUUCAAAGAGACUCAAUAACCUGCUCCAGGACAAAUGACAGAACUGAGACUUCUGACUCCAAAUCUUACGCUCCCCCGCCACACCUCUUUGCCUUUCUCUUUCACACCAAUGGACUCUAUG
RNAcentral lists this long non-coding RNA (625 nucleotides) under Homo sapiens (human). Its description in RNAcentral is "non-protein coding lnc-ABAT-3:1". Lineage: Eukaryota; Metazoa; Chordata; Mammalia; Primates; Hominidae. The record is from RNAcentral.